This 253-nucleotide ribosomal RNA is filed under the name uncultured bacterium. RNAcentral describes it as "partial 16S ribosomal RNA". It matches the Rfam family "Bacterial small subunit ribosomal RNA", at positions 524 to 776 of the family's 1533-position model. The record is from RNAcentral.
UACAGAGACUGCAAGCGUUGUCCGGAAUUAUUGGGCGUAAAGGGUGCGUAGGCGGCCUGACAAGUCUGAUGUGAAAUCCCUGGGCUCAACCCAGGGCCUGCAUCGGAAACUGUCGGGCUUGAGUAUGGGAGAGGUGAGUGGAAUUUCCGGUGUAGCGGUGAAAUGCGUAGAUAUCGGAAGGAACACCUGUGGCGAAAGCGGCUCACUGGACCAUUACUGACGCUGAGGCACGAAAGCUAGGGGAGCAAACAGG